CCUACGGGGGGCUGCAGUGAGGAAUAUUGGUCAAUGGCCGCAGGGCUGAACCAGCCAAGUCGCGUGAGGGAUGACGGUCCUAUGGAUUGUAAACCUCUUUUGCCAGGGAGCAAAGGGCGCCACGUGUGGCGCUUUGCGAGUACCUGAAGAAAAAGCAUCGGCUAACUCCGUGCCAGCAGCCGCGGUAAUACGGAGGAUGCGAGCGUUAUCCGGAUUUAUUGGGUUUAAAGGGUGCGCAGGCGGAAUGUCAAGUCAGCGGUAAAAUUUCGGGGCUCAACCCCGUCGUGCCGUUGAAACUGGCGUUCUUGAGUGAGCGAGAAGUAUGCGGAAUGCGUGGUGUAGCGGUGAAAUGCAUAGAUAUCACGCAGAACUCCGAUUGCGAAGGCAGCAUACCGGCGCUCAACUGACGCUCAUGCACGAAAGCGUGGGUAUCGAACAGGAUUAGAUACCCCAGUAGUC
RNAcentral lists this ribosomal RNA (459 nucleotides) under uncultured bacterium. Its description in RNAcentral is "partial 16S ribosomal RNA". It matches the Rfam family "Bacterial small subunit ribosomal RNA", at positions 338 to 795 of the family's 1533-position model. The record is from RNAcentral.